AUAUGCAAUCGGGUGCCGAAAUGCACCCGUUUUGCAUCAUUUUUCGUUCCGGAACCGAAUGCUCAAAAACACUCCCAAACAUGUUCUAGGGUAUAAUUAGGAAGAUUGCAUGCGUUCGUUGCGAAAAAAUCCACCCGAGUUUCGCUACCCGGCAAUAUGCAAUCGGGUGCCGAAAUGCACCCGUUUUGCAUCAUUUUUCGUUCCGGAACCGAAUGCUAAAAAACACUCCCAAACAUGUUCUAGGGUAUAAUUAUGAAGAUUGCAUGCGUUCGUUGCGAAAAAAUCCACCCGAGUUUCGCUACCCGGCAAUAUGCAUUCGGGUACCGAAAUGCACCCGUAUUGCAUCAUUUUUCGUUCCGGAACCGAAUGCUCAAAAACACUACCAAACAUGUUCUAGGGUAUAAUUAUGAAGAUUGCAUGCGUUCGUUGCGAAAAAAUCUAAUCGAGUUUCGCUACACGGAAAAAGUGCAUUCGGGUGCCGAAAUGCACCCGUUUUGCAUCAUUUUUCGUUCCGGAACCGAAUGCUCAAAAACACUCCCAAACAUGUUCUAGGGUAUAAUUAUGAAGAUUGCAUGCGUUCGUUGCGAAAAAAUCCACCCGAGUUUCGCUACACGGAAAAAGUGCAUUCGGGUGCCGAAAUGCACCCGUUUUGCAUCAUUUUUCGUUCCGGAACCGAAUGCUCAAAAACACUCCCAAACAUGUUUUAGGGUAUAAUUAGGAAGAUUGCAUGCGUUCGUUGCGAAAAAAUCCACUCGAGUUUCGCUACCCGGCAAUAUGCAUUCGGGUGCCGAAAUGCACCCGUUUUGCAUCAUUUUUCAUUCCGGAACCGAAUGCUCAAAAACACUCCCAAACAUGUUCUAGGGUAUAAUUAUGAAGAUUGCAUGCGUUCGUUGCGAAAAAAUCCACCCGAGUUUCGCUACCCGGCAAUAUGCAUUCGGGUACCGAAAUGCACCCGUUUUGCAUCAUUUUUCGUUCCGGAACCGAAUGCUAAAAAACACUCCCAAACAUGUUCUAGGGUAUAAUUAUGAAGAUUGCAUGCGUUCGUUGCGAAAAAAUCCACCCGAGUUUCGCUACCCGGCAAUAUGCAUUCGGGUGCCGAAAUGCACCCGUUUUGCAUCAUUUUUCGUUCCGGAACCGAAUACUCAAAAACAAACUCCCAAACAUGUUCUAGUGUAUAGUUAGGAAGAUUGGAUGCGUUCGUUGCGAGAAAAUCCACCCGAGUUUCGCUACCCGGAAAUAGUGCAUUCGGGUGCCGAAAUGCACCCAUUUUGCAUCAUUUUUCGUUCCGGAACCGAAUGCUCAAAAACACUCCCAAACAUGUUCUAGGGUAUAAUUAGGAAUAUUGCAUGCGUUCGUUGCGAAAAAAUCCACCCGAGUUUCGCUAC
Molecule: long non-coding RNA, 1385 nt
Filed under: Setaria viridis
Lineage: Eukaryota; Viridiplantae; Streptophyta; Magnoliopsida; Poales; Poaceae
Description: long non-coding RNA (SVIR_LNC006926)
Source: RNAcentral